Molecule: long non-coding RNA, 1002 nt
Organism: Talpa occidentalis (Iberian mole)
Lineage: Eukaryota; Metazoa; Chordata; Mammalia; Eulipotyphla; Talpidae
Exons: 4
Source: RefSeq, a predicted model, not a curated record
GCCUCAUCGGCCCUCAGUCACUGGCUUUAGAGUGGCUUUUGCUUUCCACGAGGAAGUAUGCAGUUCCUUAGGGUGAAUGUCAAAUGUUCCUAAAUAGAGACGCCGCUGAAAUCUCCACGAGCGAUGCUUAUUUAUAGGAAUCAUUUAUCCAAGAGUCUACUGCUUCCCAGCUCGAGGAUUUAUCCCCGGCAUCGCUCAGACUCAGCCCCCAUAGAGCCACACGCCCUUUCUAUUUAUACGCCUGGAAUCCAGCUCUACAAUUGUCUCCAAGUCCCUAAUUAGUGGGUACAGCAGUUCACCCUGAUGGCGGCACGCGUUUCUCUGUGACACCAGUUGUGCCCACCGGAAACCUAUCGCCACAGCAGCCUCGCCUCACUCGGUUUCUCUGUACAUCAGUGAAGAGCCACCUAUGACGCUAGCCCGACCUCUCCAACACAGCCCUCCCCUACAUGGCACACCGUCCACACCCCUCUUCACCUCUGUCUUCCCCAGACCCUUCUACCGAUGUCCACAGACGCGCACGCCCAGCACAGCCCUACCUGUUACCUCAGGGUUGUGGCCAAAAGAGUGGAAAGAACAAUUGCUUGGAUGAGACAGCUGUCUGUUCCUGCUUCACAUUGUGGCUGGAGAGACUGAAAUCCGCCUGGUACUCGGGUGGGAGACGCCCUCUCCUCUCAGAUCAAUCCCAGAGGGAUACAGGGCCAUGAGAAGGUGAAAGAGAGAUACCAGCCGGCGCGUGUUUGCAAGUUGCCCCCUGUAAGUGGUAGGCACCCUCAGAGCUCCCAAGGCACUUCAUCAGGUCAUCCUCACCAGAAUGUGCUGUCUGCAGCCUGCAGGAUCCCCCUGGAGCAAGAAUCCUAGAGCCUUGCUAAUGCAAUCAUGCCGGUCACCAUUUUUUCCUGAUGAACUGCUCUGAAAACACGUGAGAAAAGAGAAUUAAGAAUCCUUGUUUGUGGAAUGGCUGAGUACCUGAAAUAGUGCAAUGUAAGGAGAGAAUGUCAU